This 400-nucleotide ribosomal RNA is filed under the name uncultured bacterium. Its description in RNAcentral is "bacterial SSU rRNA". It matches the Rfam family "Bacterial small subunit ribosomal RNA", at positions 356 to 773 of the family's 1533-position model. The record is from RNAcentral.
GGGGAAUAUUGCACAAUGGGGGAAACCCUGAUGCAGCAACGCCGCGUGAGUGAUGACGGUCUUCGGAUUGUAAAGCUCUGUCUUUUGGGACGAUAAUGACGGUACCAAAGGAGGAAGCCACGGCUAACUACGUGCCAGCAGCCGCGGUAAUACGUAGGUGGCAAGCGUUGUCCGGAUUUACUGGGCGUAAAGGAUGUGUAGGCGGAUACUUAAGUGAGAUGUGAAAGCCCCGGGCUCAACCUGGGGACUGCAUUUCAAACUGGGUAUCUAGAGUGCGGGAGAGGAAAGUGGAAUUCCUAGUGUAGCGGUGAAAUGCGUAGAGAUUAGGAAGAACACCAGUGGCGAAGGCGACUUUCUGGACCGUAACUGACGCUGAGGCAUGAAAGCGUGGGGAGCAAAC